AGUUCAGAUUUCCUCGGCAGUUAACUACAGCCGUAUUUCUAAAACUUCGGCAGUUAACUGCCGAAGGACAU
This 71-nucleotide microRNA precursor is filed under the name Medicago truncatula (barrel medic). RNAcentral's name for it is "MIR2629 microRNA precursor family". It matches the Rfam family "MIR2629 microRNA precursor family". The record is from Rfam by way of RNAcentral. Lineage: Eukaryota; Viridiplantae; Streptophyta; Magnoliopsida; Fabales; Fabaceae.